This 520-nucleotide ribosomal RNA is filed under the name uncultured Pacispora. Its description in RNAcentral is "SSU rRNA". It matches the Rfam family "Eukaryotic small subunit ribosomal RNA", at positions 569 to 1088 of the family's 1831-position model. Lineage: Eukaryota; Fungi; Glomeromycota; Glomeromycetes; Diversisporales; Pacisporaceae. The record is from RNAcentral.
AGCAGCCGCGGUAAUUCCAGCUCCAAUAGCGUAUAUUAAAGUUGUUGCAGUUAAAAAGCUCGUAGUUGAAUUUCGAAAUUUUUUUAUCGGUUGAAUCAACAGGUUCGUACUGAUUUUAAGAAUUUCUACCUUCUGGAGAACCUUAAUGUCAUUUAUUUGAUGUUUUGGGAAACCAGGACUGUUACCUUGAAAAAAUUAGAGUGUUUAAAGCAGGCUUAUGUCUGAAUAUAUUAGCAUGGAAUAAUGAAAUAGGACGGCAUGGUUCUAUUUUGUUGGUUUCUAGGAUCACCGUAAUGAUUAAUAGGGAUAGUUGGGGGCAUUAGUAUUCAAUUGUCAGAGGUGAAAUUCUUGGAUUUAUUGAAGACUAACUUCUGCGAAAGCAUCUGCCAAGGAUGUUUUCAUUAAUCAAGAACGAAAGUUAGGGGAUCGAAGACGAUCAGAUACCGUCGUAGUCUUAACCAUAAACUAUGCCGACUAGGAAUCGGACGAAGUUAAUUUUUUAAUGACUCGUUCGGCGCCU